Molecule: small RNA, 179 nt
Organism: Mesorhizobium alhagi CCNWXJ12-2
Lineage: Bacteria; Pseudomonadati; Pseudomonadota; Alphaproteobacteria; Hyphomicrobiales; Phyllobacteriaceae
Rfam family: Ruegeria cis52 sRNA
About the family: Cis-encoded.
Source: Rfam
UGCGCAGCGCGUGCUUGAUGACGACGCUGCCGAAGCCCAGCCCCUUGAGCCUGGCCGUGCGGAUAUAUUGCUGCGUCAUCACCUCGACCAUCGAGGCCCGGGUCAUGCGGGCGAUGUAGCCGAUGCCGUAGAUCGCCAUGGUCAUGACGGGCAGUGUGAAAUUGUAGAAGGUGAUGCCU